AAAUGGAAAAGAAAAGAAAAAACCGCUUACCGAGUUUGGAUUCGGGUGGCGGUUGAUGAGUUGCAAGUAGUGGAGCCAAAUCGCUGGCGUGGAAAGCUCCAGGGCUAAGCACAGCACAGAAGUUUUAGGAACUAAACGUCGACUUAUGGCCUGCUACUUCUCUAAGUCCUUAUACAAAUACACACAACACAGCCCACACAACACAGCCCGAAAGAGAAUCUCUCUUCCUCCUUCUCUGCUCUGCCUUUUUUUUUUUUUUUUUGGUCCUUCAGUUUAUACCCAAAAUCCGUUGUGAGAUCCACCGCAUCAUCGCUCAGCCUUCUUAGAAUUCAUUCUCAAAAUUUUACGAUUCCUUUGGAUGGCAAUCGAAGAAGAAGUGGAGAGCUGUGGCAGCAGAGCCGUGAGUUCAUCGCAGGGGCAGACUCGGCAUCACAGACAGAAACUUGAUGUGUAUAACGAGGUUCUUCAUCGAAUCCAAGAAUCGAAUUUUGAAGAGGCUAGUCUUCCUGGUUUUGAUGAUCAGCUUUGGCUCCAUUUCAAUCGCCUUCCUGCCAGAUACGCAUUGGAUGUAAACGUGGAGAGGGCAGAAGAUGUGCUUACACAUAAGAGAUUGCUGCAAUUAGCUAAAGACCAUGCCGAUCGACCUGCUAUUGAAGUUCGAAUCGUGCAGGUAUAUCCUGUUGAUUCUGAUUCUUCAAUGAAAGAAGAUGCACAGAGUUCUUUUAAUAAUUCAGGCGGACAGGGGAUACAUCCACCACCUACCUUUGGUUCAUCGCCUAAUCUUGAAGCACUUGCACUUCAAUCAAACAGAUAUCUUGUUGAAGAUGGGGAUAGUGCUAUGAGCGAGACACCUUACUUUCCUAGGCCUAUGCAUGAGAUUACCUUUUCAACAGCUGACAAGCCUAAACUCCUUAGUCAGUUAACUUCAUUACUUUCUGAGAUUGGAUUAAACAUUCAAGAAGCUCAUGCUUUUUCAACUGUCGAUGGAUUCUCUCUGGAUGUUUUCGUUGUUGAUGGUUGGCGUUGUGAGGAAACUGAGGAGCUUAGAGGUGCUUUGGAAAGGGAAAUAUCAAAAUAUAAGGAGCAAUCUUCUUCAAAACAGAAUCCAGGUGCUGUUGAUAUUGAUAUUGGAAAUGAACAAGCAAAAUUGGAGCCCUUAUGUAAUGUUUUAGAAAUACCGACUGAUGGAAUCGAUGUAUGGGAAAUAGAUUCCAGUCUGCUGAAAUUUGAGAAUAAACUUGGAUCUGGGUCAUAUGGUGAUCUGUAUAAAGGAUCAUAUUGUAGUCAGGAAGUUGCUGUCAAAGUCCUCAAACCUGAGCGUGUCACUGCAGAGAUGCUGGGAGAGUUUUCACAGGAAGUUUACAUAAUGAGGAAAAUUCGGCAUAAGAAUGUUGUGCAAUUUCUUGGUGCAUGCACUCAACAUCCAAAUCUGUGCAUUGUGACUGAGUUUAUGUCCAGAGGAAGCCUAUAUGACUUUUUGCAUAAGCAAAAGGGCGUAUUUAAUCUUGCUUCUCUACUUAAAGUAGCAAUUGAUAUUUCUAAGGGGAUGAACUAUUUGCAUCAGAAUAACAUAAUCCACAGGGACCUCAAGACUGCCAAUCUUCUGAUGGAUGAAAAUGAGGUUGUUAAGGUUGCUGAUUUUGGGGUUGCCAGAGUCCAAGCUCAGUCCGGAGUUAUGACAGCUGAAACUGGAACAUACCGCUGGAUGGCACCUGAGGUAAUUGAACAUAAACCAUAUGAUCACAAGGCAGAUGUUUUCAGUUUCGGGAUAGUUCUUUGGGAGCUUCUAACUGGAGAACUUCCAUAUUCAUUGUUGACUCCAGUACAAGCAGCAGUUGGUGUGGUACAAAAGGGUCUACGACCUACAAUACCUAAGAACACUCAUCCAAGGGUUGCAGAACUACUUGACAGAUGUUGGCAGCAAGACCCAACUCGGAGACCUAACUUCUCUGAAAUUAUAGAGAUCCUAAAGCAUAUAGCGAAGGAGGGGAAUGAUAAACAAGACCGGAACAAGGACAGAUCUGCAGGCAGGAUUUUUUCUGCACUGAAAUGGGUCAAUCACUGAAGAUGUGAAAUUUCUUUUGAAGAUAUGUAAUGGGUUAGGUUGAACUCAACGCACCAGACCAGUGGUCUCUAUCUUACCAACCACGAGCCAAGAGGAGAAAACAUUGCUCCAGAUGGCAGUGCUAUUUGCGUGGACGUCUGGUAAAUAUAUCUGAAGACUUGGUAGAUCGGCCAUUACUGGAUGUGCUGAGCAGCUGCCGAGCACGAACAUUGACUUGCAGUCGAACGAGUGAA
This is an RNA transcript of Ziziphus jujuba (common jujube), 2298 nucleotides long. It is a transcript of the gene named serine/threonine-protein kinase STY8, with no coding region annotated. The record is from RefSeq and is a predicted model, not a curated record. The transcript has 18 exons. NCBI's taxonomy places the organism in Eukaryota, Viridiplantae, Streptophyta, Magnoliopsida, Rosales, Rhamnaceae.